This is a long non-coding RNA of Myiozetetes cayanensis, 1639 nucleotides long. RefSeq lists it as uncharacterized. The transcript has 3 exons. Lineage: Eukaryota; Metazoa; Chordata; Aves; Passeriformes; Tyrannidae. The record is from RefSeq and is a predicted model, not a curated record.
CAGACACGUUGUUUCUGAAACAACAGGAUGCUUUGGCUGGCAUCCUACUAGACUCAUUCCUAUGGUUUUCAGUCCUCAGGUGGCAUUAAUGGCAAGGAAGGCAGCUCCUUCUGGCUUACCCUUAAAAUGUGCCAUUUCUCUUCAGGUGAGUAUCUGAAAACAAGCUUGGAAAACUCAUCAAAGCUACCCUGUACCCUGAUAACUACCUGGAUAUGGGAAUGAAGACAGUGUCUAAGAGGGAAGUUUCAGAAAUAAUGGAGGUUGACACCUCACUUCCUCAGUGUCUUUCUGCUCCCUCCCAAGGGCAGUUUUAAGGACCCAGACAGGACCAACAAUGAAUACAAGAAGGAAAAAGAAUAUUCAUGAAGCAUCUCCUCUGCUCAGUGAAUCAGGAACUGUACAAAAGUCCUUUACAAUGCAGACUUGAUGUACAAUAAUAUUAAGCAAGAAAAUAUUCAAACAGCCAUGAAACAGUCAUCAAAAGUGCUGCUCCUUGUUUCAAUCCCUGCAAGAAAUCAAAACCUUUCAAGCAGAGCCAGAUUUUAACGAAUGGUGGCUGUUUAAAGCAGAGUUGCCAAAAGCCUUGGCUGUGCCUGGACUUUUAUUUUAAGUAUUUGUACCAUUAAAUAUUAAUAUAGGUCAAAUAACUGAUCCCCCUGAGCAGAUGAAAUCUGCACAAUGAAAACAAACACACUGUAAAACAUGAGCCAAUGUUACCCACAAUGUUGCUGCAUAAAUAUGCAAAUACAGACCCCGAUUUCCCUGAACAAGUUUUCUUAUUGACGUUAUGGGAGAAUGAGAAGGAAAACAUAAAAAUUAAAUAAUAGUCACAGCACUGAAACUUUUAAGAGCUGAUCCAAGGCUCAUUGACUCAAGGGAGCUUUGCCUCUAGUACCUUUAAGAGCUGCAGUGCUGCAGAACCUGAAACACACUCAGGGAAAUCACAACGUGGUGCCACACAGACAAGGCAAUGUCACAUUUGACAGUAGAUGUGUCUGUAGGGACACACUGCAGUAGGAAUUAAAAAGAAAAACGUGGAGUGGAUCUGUUUGUUUUUUACUGGCAUCUCCUGCAUAAUUUCACUACAGGCUCCCAGUUUUUGCUGGUGAUGAUGGGAAGUGUGGGAGAUCCUACAAGAAUGUGUGAGAUGUCUUAGGUCAGGGACCUUGGUGAGGUCCAGGCAAGAUGUACUCUUUGUCCAGCUCACUGUCAACGUUUUAAGGAGUAUUGAUGAAAAGCAUGCACUAAAAUUGAAAAGGAGGAGAACUACAUAGCAAGGAUGGAAACUGAGAGUUCAUUGAAUUGAUCAGUUUGUAUACAGCCUCAAAUGCUAUUGUGGAGGGCAGCCAUGGGAAGCCUUUGCCCUUGAUCCUUUGAUCUCCGUUUGUCCCGAUCUUCACAGCUGGCAGAAGCUGCAGUUGGGUUUGUGUGUGCUGUGUGCUUGAGGCCUGGCUGCUCUGUGAGGUGUGAGCACUUGGAAGUGCUUUGAGUUUGAACUGGAUACAAUAGAAACCUAAAGAAGCUGUAAAAAUACCCUGGGCCAACUUCUGAUCCCUGUUAUUUCUCAGCAAAUUAGGAAUAGCUGUUAAAAUUAUGGCACUGGCAUUGCAAAGUUGUACAUUAAAAAUAAUGAGUGAAG